GAUGAACGCUGGCGGCGUGCCUAAUACAUGCAAGUCGAGCGAACGGACGAGAAGCUUGCUUUUCUGAUGUUAGCGGCGGACGGGUGAGUAACACGUGGAUAACCUACCUAUAAGACUGGGAUAACUUCGGGAAACCGGAGCUAAUACCGGAUAAUCUUUUGAACCGCAUGGUUCAAAAGUGAAAGACGGUCUUGCUGUCACUUCUAGAUGGAUCCGCGCUGCAUUAGCUAGUUGGUAAGGUAACGGCUUACCAAGGCAACGAUGCAUAGCCGACCUGAGAGGGUGAUAGGCCACACGGGAACGGAGACACGGUCAAGACUACUACGGGAGGCAGCAGUAGGGAAUCUUCCGCAAUGGGCGAAAGCCUGACGGAGCAACGCCGCGUGAGUGAUGAAGGUCUUCGGAUCGUAAAAAUCUGUUAUUAGGGAAGAACAUAUGUGUAAGGAACUGUGGACAUCUUGACGGUAACUAAUCAGAAAGCAACGGCUAACUACGUG
This 497-nucleotide ribosomal RNA is filed under the name uncultured bacterium. Its description in RNAcentral is "partial 16S ribosomal RNA". It matches the Rfam family "Bacterial small subunit ribosomal RNA", at positions 28 to 507 of the family's 1533-position model. The record is from RNAcentral.